RNAcentral lists this long non-coding RNA (1019 nucleotides) under Anser cygnoides (Swan goose). RNAcentral's name for it is "lncRNA (ENSACDG00005013505.1)". The record is from RNAcentral. Lineage: Eukaryota; Metazoa; Chordata; Aves; Anseriformes; Anatidae.
AUGAAUGAGCUCAAAAUGGACCCUCUAGUGACAGCUCUGUCAAAGAAUAACCGUCAGAUGCUCUCGGAGACAACAACUUUGACAUAUGUAUUUUUCCCUACAGGCAUGGAGCUGCUGCCAUCUCGUCUGAGAAGAACAGCUGAUUUGGUACAAUCACAUUUUUUCCAGUACUUUUUAAGCCCAGUAGAGCUUUUUCCUGACAAAGUUCAUCAGACCCCCAGUUCGAGAACCACAGUUGAAGAAUCCUGGCAGACAUUUGAUGUGGCAAGGGUGGGAUCCUCAUUUAAACAAUUUUGUUACAUGAUUUUUCAAGCGAUUUCAAGCACCGAAGCAGUCACCAUCUGCCUGCAAGCCCCUGCUGAGCCACAAAGGAUUGUGCUGAGAUACCCCUCAGUAAUGAGCAGCCAUGGCAAGCAAGGGCUGACUGUUUAAAUGAUCAUCUUAAGCUAGACACAGUUCGAGGUAACCUAGCGAUCAUGCCCAGGUCAAAACCACUGCGCAUAAUAGGGCUGAAAGAAGCAAAAGAAGAGUGUGGUGUAUGAGGAUAUUUAGAAUUCUUCAGGGCGAUUGACAUUAAUUAACUUGCCAGCUGGACAAGCUCCCAACGAACCAACAUCUUACAGAACUGCAAUGGUCUAUCCAAAUUGGGAAUACACUUUGCUAGUGAGCUGUCGCACACAUAUUUAUAAGGCACUGUGAUGCUGGAAAGUGUUUCCGCAGGAUAUGAAGCAGAGCAGAUUUGGGCUACGCAUCUUAUUGUGCGGUGCUGGUUUUUUACUCAUUUUGUUGUUUGUAAAUGGACCACUUUCUGCCUUUAUAUUUGUCUUUUGAAAAGGAGUAAGAGAUAUAAAAAACCCACGUAUUAGGAACAAAAAGAAAAAGACAUAUUGGUACAUGUGCAAGUCAUAGCAACACUUCAUUUUGUGCUACUGAAAUGUACAAAUGAUAAAUACUGUUACUACUUCAAUAUGUUAGUUUAAGAUACCACCCUAGAAAAAUAAAAGAUAAUGUUUUGACCA